GCCGACGUAGCUCAAUUGGCAGAGCAGCGGUUUUGUAAACCGCCGGUCCGGGUUCGAGUCCCGUCGUCGGCUCCA
This 75-nucleotide transfer RNA is filed under the name Chloroflexota bacterium. RNAcentral describes it as "Chloroflexi bacterium tRNA-Thr". It matches the Rfam family "tRNA". Rfam says of the family: Transfer RNA (tRNA) molecules are approximately 80 nucleotides in length. Lineage: Bacteria; Bacillati; Chloroflexota. The record is from RNAcentral.